GCCGAUUGCCGAACCGACGGACGCGGACGAAUGGAUUGAUUCCUGGCUCCCUGUCCCCACCCCUCACCCCGCGUCUCCAUGAUUCUGCCAGGAGUAUCAGCUGCUCCUCUGUCAAUUCUGGAAAAGUGAGGAAUAUUGUCAGUUUCAGGAAGGGGUUCCAUUCUGUGAAAUGCAAGGCCAAAGCAGAGACCUGGCAAAGAUUUCGAGGAUUUUCAGUUAGCAGCUGUAAGUUGCCUCACUGUUCUCAAAAUAAUUACUUGUCUUCCUCUACGGCUAUCUCCCUUAAAUAUUCUCAAAGUGCUCUGUUUAGGGAUCAGAGAAUCUAAGAGCUCAUUUUUGGGGGGGAGGAUUAUGUCCACAUCUGGCAAAGGAGCUGUGCAGGAUCAAUAUACAUAUGGAAGAUAACUGUUGUCACAGUCUGGCAUCUCCAGCAUCUGUCCUGAAGAUUGCAGGGCUGUUUGAGAUGAGUGGGAGUCCUACAGUUUGAGCACUGCCCACUGAUAAUCCUUAAUCCUACCUGUAGGAUGCCUCUGCCUAGCCCAAACACUCUGAAUUUAUAAAAGUAACCCAUUUAGUUGUCUUAUGUAGUUGUGACAAUACAUGGAAAAGAAUAUUUGCAAAUCAUUGAACCAAUGUUUUCUGUUAUAAUCAGAAAACUGUAAGAAAAAGUGUAAAAGCUUAUGGAUAGCUAAGGUCCAGGCUGCACAUUCAUCAGGUUGGAGCUUGCAAAGGCUGAAUUCCUUGAGCAUCCCAACUAGAAAAUGAUAAGCAAAUACCACCACAUCUCAAAUUUUGGGGGGCAGGUAUGAGCUUUCAACCAGCUUUAGUUCUGGCGUCUGUCUUAAGGAUGAUCUGUCCUUCCAUCCUUACCUUCAGCUGCUCCUGGGCUGAAAUGUUCUCCAUUCAAGUCAAAUACUUGAUUCUGAUAUUUUGAGAGGGAUAAUGCUUACCAUCUAGAGCAUAAAGGAAGUAGAGGACUGCCUCAACAAGGUCAGUGAAAACGGCCCCACUGGAAUCUUGUAAAUUCUCCACCAAGUCUCGCAGCUCUGGCUUGCCAGCCUUCAGCUUGAAUUGACCGGUGCCUUCAAGAGCCUCUUCCAUCUGAGAGUUUAGGUUACAGCAAAAGAUGUUAAUGCCAAAUGGUGGGUAUAUUAACAUAUGACCUGAGAUUUGGCUAUGCGUAGCACAUAUGCGAAAGUAGGGCUUGGUAGGUGAUAGGUAUCACUUUAUUUGUAAAUGGCUGUGAACAUCAAGACUCUGGACCAUUUGGUCAUUUUUAUUUAGAUGUGGCACAAUCCACAAAGCCUAGAAACAUUAGGAAAAAGCAUGACUCUUUUGGGCAGGGAGUAUUGCAGUGGGGGAGCUGAGGGCCUAAUGAUAGACUGGACUGUUGCUAAUAAGUAAAGUUUUGACAUCGGGUAACUACAGUAGGUAA
Podarcis raffonei (Aeolian wall lizard) is the source of this 1435-nucleotide long non-coding RNA. RefSeq lists it as uncharacterized. Lineage: Eukaryota; Metazoa; Chordata; Lepidosauria; Squamata; Lacertidae. The transcript has 2 exons. The record is from RefSeq and is a predicted model, not a curated record.